AAGAAGCGAGGAUAACACUAUAAGACGAGAAGACCCCAUGGAGCUUUAAACCCAAUUAUAUCCCUAACCCCUAUACCCAUUUAACCUCUUAGGCCUAUAUACUUGGUUUUAGGUUGGGGCGACCACGGAGUAAAACCAAACCUCCAUGAUGUACGGAACAACCUCCUUAUCUAAGAGCCACAGCUCUAAGAAUUAGCACACUAUCAUAAAAUGACCCAUUAUUGAUCAACGAACCAAGUUACCCUGGGGAUAACAGCGCAAUCCAUUUUAAGAGCCCCUAUCGACAAAUGGGUUUACGACCUCGAUGUUGGAUCAGGAUAUCCCAGUGGUGCAGCAACUACUAAAGGUUCGUUUGUUCAACGAUCAAAAUCCU
This 373-nucleotide ribosomal RNA is filed under the name Mantidactylus femoralis. RNAcentral describes it as "partial 16S ribosomal RNA". It matches the Rfam family "Bacterial large subunit ribosomal RNA", at positions 2056 to 2597 of the family's 2925-position model. The record is from RNAcentral. Lineage: Eukaryota; Metazoa; Chordata; Amphibia; Anura; Mantellidae.